RNAcentral lists this ribosomal RNA (484 nucleotides) under uncultured bacterium. RNAcentral describes it as "partial 16S ribosomal RNA". It matches the Rfam family "Bacterial small subunit ribosomal RNA", at positions 30 to 507 of the family's 1533-position model. The record is from RNAcentral.
AUUGAACGCUGGCGGCAUGCCUAACACAUGCAAGUCGAGCGAAUGAAGGGGGCUUUCUCCUGUAUGCAGCUGCGGACGGGUGGGUGAUGCCUAGGAAUGUGCCUUGUAUUUAGGGAUAGCGUCCGGAAACGGGCGCGAAUACCGCAUACGUCCUUAUGUAGAAAGUGGGGGAUCGUCGGAGCUCGCGCUAUCAGAUGAGCCUAGGUCGGAUUAGCUAGUUGGUGGGGUAAAGGCCUACCAAGGCGACGAUCCGUAACUGGUCUGAGAGGAUGAUCAGUCACACUGGAACUGAGACACGGUCCAGACUCCUACGGGAGGCAGCAGUGGGGAAUCUUGCACAAUGGGCGAAAGCCUGAUCCAGCCAUGCCGCGUGUGUGAAGAAGGUCUUCGGAUUGUAAAGCACUUUAAGUAGGGAGGAAGGAAAGUAUGUUAAUCCGUUGAUGUUUUGACGUUACCAACAGAAUAAGCACCGGCUAACUUCGUG